AUGAAGAGACCCUAUCUUUGUGCAUUACCCAUUCCUUUGCCCCUUUGGCUUUCCUUUGUGCUUGAAAGGUUUCAGUGUUAUUCUUCAAGACACAGGUCAGAAAGGGGAAUGGGGUCCAGAAUGCACACUUCCUGUCUACACAGAUCCAAGGUGAUGGAAAGGUCCCAGUGCCAUACAAUCACCCUCAGCCACGCAAAGUCUUCCAAGAGGCAAUGUCCCAAAGCUCAGGCUGCAAAUGGCAAAUGCACACAGACACACACACACACACACACACACUCUUCAAUGCAGAACUCUGCACUUGUAUCCCAGAAAAGGUUUGUUAUUUCAAUUACACCCAUUGAGAUGUGUGCCACAUGUCAGAGAAGAAAGGAAAACACCAAAAUGAGGCUGAAUUGCUUUAGCUAUCUCCUUAGGGAUUGAUCUAUAUCAAAUCAACCACCAUCUAGGCAUGGGGAGAAGCUUUUACUUAUGAAAAACAGAGGCAGGUGCAGGAGAGCAGCAUUUGGGACCAAAUCAAAGCCGUGAGAGCAGAAGGAAGUGAAUUUAGAUGCAUCCACUUAGCUGCUCUGCCCGUAUGUAAAUCACAGGCUGGGGGGCAGAUCAGAGCCCAGGCUGGAUCCGCCUCUUCUUCCUCAUCUCCCCUGAGGUCUCUCCCUGCUUUGCUCACUGCUUCAGCUGCCCAGUAAGAACAGAUGGACGGAAGUUAAAAGAGCAAGUUUGGCUCAUCAGCUAAGUGGAAUUCCACACCCUGCCCCACCUCUCCCAUCCCUGUCUGGGGCAUAAAGAUGGAGAAUGAAGGGCAGGGGUGCUGCUGCAUUGGAUUCUGCAGGAAGCGCUGGUAUUUUCUUUUACAUCCCCUGAAUAGCUGGCCAGUCUGCUUUACACAUUGAUAAUAUGGGAUGCCUUCUAUUCCAGCAAAUAUUUAAUCCCUGACUGAUCAAUAAUCCCUGCCUGGCUGUUCUUUUUUUUUUUUUUUUUUUUUUUGAAAAGAAACAAAUCCCCUUUUACUCUUAAAAUUCUUGAAUAAAAUUAAACUGCUCUAGCCCA
Molecule: long non-coding RNA, 1047 nt
Filed under: Oryctolagus cuniculus (rabbit)
Lineage: Eukaryota; Metazoa; Chordata; Mammalia; Lagomorpha; Leporidae
Description: lncRNA (ENSOCUG00000033064.1)
Source: RNAcentral